RNAcentral lists this transfer RNA (72 nucleotides) under Clavaria fumosa. RNAcentral's name for it is "tRNA-Glu". It matches the Rfam family "tRNA". From Rfam's summary of the family: Transfer RNA (tRNA) molecules are approximately 80 nucleotides in length. Their secondary structure includes four short double-helical elements and three loops (D, anti-codon, and T loops). Further hydrogen bonds mediate the characteristic L-shaped molecular structure. tRNAs have two regions of fundamental functional importance: the anti-codon, which is responsible for specific mRNA codon recognition, and the 3' end, to which the tRNAs corresponding amino acid is attached (by aminoacyl-tRNA synthetases). tRNAs cope with the degeneracy of the genetic code in two manners: having more than one tRNA (with a specific anti-codon) for a particular amino acid; and 'wobble' base-pairing, i.e. permitting non-standard base-pairing at the 3rd anti-codon position. The record is from RNAcentral. Lineage: Eukaryota; Fungi; Basidiomycota; Agaricomycetes; Agaricales; Clavariaceae.
GAUUCUUUUGUAUAAUGGUUAUUACAACUACCCUUCAAGUAGUAAAUAUCAGUUCAAUUCUGAUAAGAAUUA